AGGGUGAACGCUGGCGGCGUGCUUAAGACAUGCAAGUCGAACGGAUGCUUUCGGGCAUCAGUGGCGCACGGGUGAGUAACGCGUAACUGACUUACCUCCAAGUUCAGCAUAACGUCUCGAAAAGAGACGCUAAUUCUGAAUGUGAUCCCGGAUCGUGUUCCGUGAUUAAAGAACUUCGCUUGGAGAUGGGGUUGCGUUCCAUCAGCUAGUUGGUAGGGUAAAGCCUACCAAGGCGACGACGGA
This 243-nucleotide ribosomal RNA is filed under the name uncultured bacterium. RNAcentral's name for it is "partial small subunit ribosomal RNA". It matches the Rfam family "Bacterial small subunit ribosomal RNA", at positions 26 to 283 of the family's 1533-position model. The record is from RNAcentral.